Molecule: ribosomal RNA, 492 nt
Filed under: uncultured bacterium
Lineage: Bacteria
Description: partial 16S ribosomal RNA
Rfam family: Bacterial small subunit ribosomal RNA
Source: RNAcentral
AGUGAACGCUGGCGGUAGGCCUAACACAUGCCAGUCGAACGGCAGCACAGUAAGAGCUUGCUCUUACGGGUGGCGAGUGGCGGACGGGUGAGGAAUACAUCGGAAUCUACUUUUUCGUGGGGGAUAACGUAGGGAAACUUACGCUAAUACCGCAUACGACCUACGGGUGAAAGCAGGGGAUCUUCGGACCUUGCGCGAUUGAAUGAGCCGAUGUCGGAUUAGCUAGUUGGCGGGGUAAAGGCCCACCAAGGCGACGAUCCGUAGCUGGUCUGAGAGGAUGAUCUGCCACACUGGAACUGAGACACGGUCCAGACUCCUACGGGAGGCAGCAGUGGGGAAUAUUGGACAAUGGGCGCAAGCCUGAUCCAGCCAUACCGCGUGGGUGAAGAAGGCCUUCGGGUUGUAAAGCCCUUUUGUUGGGAAAGAAAAGCAGCAGGUUAAUACCCCGCUGUUCUGACGGUACCCAAAGAAUAAGCACCGGCUAACUUCGUG